CGCACAUUGCGCCCCUUGGUACUCCGGGGGGCAUGCCUGUCCGAGCGUCAUUGAAAACCAUCAAGCCUGGCUUGGUCUUGGGCGCGGUCUGGGGACCCGCCCGCAACCCGUCGGCGGUGUCGGUUCGGCCCUGAGCGUAGCAGAAGCACUCGUUCUGGGGCCGCUGCGGCACCCGCCAGUAACAUUCUAUCUACAGUUUGACCUCGGAUCAGGUAGGGAUACCCGCUGAACUUAA
This 235-nucleotide unclassified non-coding RNA is filed under the name Ascomycota sp. RNAcentral's name for it is "partial contains 5.8S ribosomal RNA, internal transcribed spacer 2, and large subunit ribosomal RNA". Lineage: Eukaryota; Fungi; Ascomycota. The record is from RNAcentral.